UACGAAGGGGGCUAGCGUUGUUCGGAUUUACUGGGCGUAAAGCGCACGUAGGCGGAUCUUUAAGUCAGGGGUGAAAUCCCGAGGCUCAACCUCGGAACUGCCUUUGAUACUGGGGAUCUCGAGUCCGGGAGAGGUGAGUGGAACUGCGAGUGUAGAGGUGAAAUCGUAGAUAUUCGCAAGAACACCAGUGGCGAAGGCGGCUCACUGGCCCGGUACUGACGCUGAGGUGCGAAAGCGUGGGGAGCAAACAGG
RNAcentral lists this ribosomal RNA (252 nucleotides) under uncultured bacterium. RNAcentral describes it as "partial 16S ribosomal RNA". It matches the Rfam family "Bacterial small subunit ribosomal RNA", at positions 524 to 776 of the family's 1533-position model. The record is from RNAcentral.